Molecule: long non-coding RNA, 6136 nt
Filed under: Brassica napus (rape)
Lineage: Eukaryota; Viridiplantae; Streptophyta; Magnoliopsida; Brassicales; Brassicaceae
Description: long non-coding RNA (BNAP_LNC005519)
Source: RNAcentral
UCAAACUUUCCACUCAAUGGAGCCACGUCUUCAUGUUCUUCCUCGUCUUCUUCUGCUAGUAUCACGCAGCCAAACCAAGGGGCUCAAGCACCGGUUACUACAUUCUGCUGGAGUGAUUACCUUCUCUCGGAUCCGGUUUUACCUCUUAGCUCUCAGACACAAGUAGUGGGAUCCUCAGCUACUAGCAACCUCACUUUCGCGCAGAACGAAAACUUCAACGGCCAAGGAGAAUGCAGCUCUCAGAAGAUUGCUUCCAAGGCCUCUGGAACAUGUCACUCCGCGAGCUCAUUUGUGGAUGAAAUAUUGGAUAAGGACCAAGAAAUGCUGUCACAGUUUCCCCAACUCUUGAAUGAUUUCGACUAUUAGAUCCUUCCUUAUGCUAUUGUUGUUGUUGUUACUGCUUCUCUUGUAGCUUAAAUUCGAUGUUUUAUGAUGUUUCAAGAACUACUUUCAUCUAGUUUUUCAAUAAGUUAUAUUAUCUCUUCUCUUUAUCCAAGUUUCUUGGGAUUCACUUAUGUAACAGUCUCUAAACAUACAGAGCUCAAAUAAGUUUACCUCUUUUAUAGAGAAAUAGACCCUCUGGCUAAGGAAGAGGGUCUUAGUUUAUUCCUAUCCUUCGUGCUAAGCUCUUUUAACAGUCUCGCGAGCUUCAAAGUCGAAACCUUUAGAGCUAUGGCGGUCGUGUUAUCUUCUAGCAUAGUCUCUCCACUUGGAAUCAACAUCGAUAUGAGUAAGAAUCUGGGUGUAAAGUACUCUUCUUUCCCCAAAGUUCACCUCUUUGGUAAAUUAUAAAGACGAGUCAUAAUUCGAGCAUCAGAUAGAUUUAAUUAAAAUAUUGAAAUUAUCCGAAGGUAGCAACAACGAUCCAUCCAUAGAAUCCCACAUUAAAAACAAAAAAUAAAAAGCUGUUUAGAUCUUAAAAGAUCAGAUCCUCAAUCAAAGAGACUCAUCAUGCCUUCACCAUCAUCCGACUCCUCUUUCUCUUCCUCAACCUUCUUAGAUUCCGCCGCUGGCUCAGCCGCGGAAGGAGCGUCGCCUCCUGCUCCAGCCACCAUAGCAACAGCUGCACCACCGGAAGAUAGAGCCCCCAUCUUCUCCCUCCCAGCCGCGAUCAGCUCCGUCACGUCGUGAUCCUUCACCAGAGAAAAGAACAGAUCCGUCUUCGUCUCGUCGAACUCAGCUCCAACGGAAUCGAAGAUGUUUUUCAGAUCACCUUUGGUUGGGUUCUCGUUUCCGGCGAGUUUCGCGAGGAGAAAAGCAGCGAUAACCUUCAUCGUUCCUCUUCUUCUUCUUCUUCUCUGCACGAACGGUGAAAAACAAAGCGUGUUACUGCUAGGGCAAAGCUGUGUAUUUAUAAGAAGUGUCUUCCCCAUAAUGAGGAGGGUUAGGGUUUUUCGGACGUACGUUACACGAAAGAAAGCCGUUAAUGGGCCCAUGCUGUUAAUGAACUUUAAUGUAAGCCCACUAAUAUUGGAACCAACUUACAAAACUUUUCUUUUCCGGUAAAGUAAUUUCACUGAAAUUAAAACGAGUUUACAACAUCAUUACAUAAACUCCGAAAAUCAAUUAUUACAUAAGCAACAUAUAUUACAAAACGAUAAAAACCAAAAAAAAAAAGAAUUUAACAAUGAUUUCUUUAAAAUUUUUAUUCGCUAAUGAAUUAUUUAGUCAUUUUUGAUGAUCGAAAUAUUGUAAAAGUGAAUUUUUCUUUUUAGAAACUUCAAUUUCACAGAACCCAUUUACAUUUCGUCAACAGUUUGAUGCCAAUUAGUCUUUACCAAUGUCAUCCAAAAUAAUAACUACUUCCAUCGUUUGUAUUCGAUCAUUUUACAAAGAUAGAUUUUCUAUUAUUUUCACAUUUAUUAAAAAAACUCAUUAAAUCACUAUAAUGAAUGUUGUUGUUUGUAAUUUUCAAAUUUUAAUAACUUUUAACCAAUAAUAAUUUAAUAAACUUAAUUAAUUUUAUUGAAGUUUACAAAUUUUUUUUAUAGAAAAUAGAACAUUUAUCUUUGUGAAACAAUUUUUUUUCUAAAACAUGUAUCUUAGUGAAACGGAUGGAAUAUCAUUUUUUCGUAUUACACAAAAAUUGUCACUUCAAAAUUUCAAUCAAAAUUAUAUUACUUACAACUAAAAAUUAAUUGUAAAUUGCAUUAAUUUUAUAAAUAAUUUUAUUUAUCUCAAAUAUUAUUGUUCAAAAUAUGUGUAAUUAAUAACAACUUAAACACAUUCUAAUAAUUUUCUUAAUCUAUGUAAAAAAUAUCAAACUUACACUUAGUAAUUAAUAAUCUCCAGAUCUCAAAUAAACAUUAACCCAUCAUAAAUUUGAUAUUUGACAACUUACAAAACUUUAUUUUAUUUAUGGUCAACAAUUUCUUAAAAUUAAGUGCUGUCUCGUAAGAAAGAGUUAACGAAAAUCUAGUCAAAGGGGAAUUAAAAAGGAAGGCAGGAAAUUACAGUUGGCGCUCCCUCACUCGCUUACCGUCAUUAAAUACUUUUAAAAAGGGGAUGAAAUUGUAAGAUCUCAAAACUACAGGGACAAAUUAAGAAGAAGAAUAUAGUUGAGGGGGUAAGAAUUGAGAAGAAUACAAAUUUGUUACUAAACGUCUGGUCUUCGCCUCCAAAAAGAAAAGUCUUCUCUUUUCUCAGCAGGGAAGGGAAAAAAUGGAUUCUCGAAAUUUUCUCGCGUUUUCGCUAAGUCUUAUCCUGAUUUUCCCUCCAAUUUCGUCUGCUUCCAUCAGAUUCAUCCCUCGAUGGAGUAGUAGUAGUAAUAGGUAAGGUUGUCUCUCUCUCUCUCUAACGAUGAAUGAUGUUCUUUCGCAUUGGUUUGACUGAUAAAUAUUUGUUUUUUUUUUCUUUCUUUUAAUUGGUUGGGUGGGCAGAGAAGGGGCAGUGAUUAAGCAGAAGACGAGUGCUUCGUCUCUAGUUAUUGAUCCAACUCGUGUCACUCAGCUCUCUUGGACUCCUAGGUUUCGUUUGUUGCUUUUGCUUUAAAAAGUCUGAAUUUUUAUUGUUUUGAUUACAAAAGUAUGUGAUGGUUUCUGCAGGGUGUUUUUGUACAAGGGACUUUUAACAGAUGAGGAAUGUGAUCAUUUCAUCAACUUGGUACUAUCAAUCAAAUCAUCUUCUUGAUUAUUUUUGUUUGUUUGUUUGAGGACUUAGUGAUGAUCAUGGAACGUUAUGAGACUUUGUGUUUUAGGCGAAAGGGAAGCUUGAGAAGUCAAUGGUUGCGGAUAAUGAUUCAGGUAAGAGCGUGGAGAGUGAAGUGCGCACAAGCUCUGGAAUGUUUCUUUCCAAAAGACAGGUGAGAGCUUCAGUUUCUAUUACUCAUAACAUGUGUGAAUCAGUAAGGAAAACAUGUUGGCUCUUGUAAAGGUUUUGAAUGAUCUGUUGUGGUUUUAAAUCUGGUUCCGUUUGUAUGUUUUGUUUUGUGCAAUCAGUUGAAUUUUAUUAUCAUGUGUUUUCUGAGGUCUAAUCUUGCUUUUGUUUCUAUUUGACUAGCUUAACUUCACCAAAUAAACAGAUUAGUUCUCUGUUAUUAAUACCACCAAGUAACACUAUCUAGGAUGGUCUUCUUCUGUGGUUAGAAAAAGUAGCUUGAAUGCUAAUCUGGUUAUUCUAAAGGUUUUCUGUGAUUCACUGAUUGUUUGACCCUUGAGCUUGAAAGCAUGAAUGGUAAAGAUUCUGUGUCGGUGCAGGAUGAUAUAGUAGCUAAUGUCGAGGCUAAACUUGCUGCAUGGACUUUUCUUCCCGAGGGUAUUGUUUGAGGCAUAUGUAUACUUUUCUUACUUUAUCUUUAGUAGCAGAAAAAACACUCAUCUCUUCUUUUUUUUUUUACCUGUGUUGUCUAUCAGAAAAUGGAGAAUCAAUGCAAAUACUGCACUACGAGAACGGUCAAAAAUAUGAACCGCAUUUUGACUUCUUUCACGACCAAGUAAACCAACAGCUUGGUGGUCAUCGGAUCGCCACCGUAUUGAUGUACUUGUCCAACGUCAAAAAAGGUGGAGAAACAGUGUUUCCCAUGUGGAAGGUAAUAACGACAUAUGUAUCACAUGAUUUAGAUUUCAUUUCUUGAGUGGCCUCAUUUGAACACUGUUCAUUCAUUCUUAAAGGGAGCAACAGCUCAACCCAAAGACGAUAGCUGGACCCAAUGUGCCAAACAAGGUUAUGCAGGUAGAGAAACACAUACAUGUGUACUUUAUGUAUUCUUCAACAUGCGUUUGCUUUAAGUAUGAUUCUAUCUUUCCAAAUGGUAUAUUGCACAAUCUGAGAGUGUGUGUCUUUGCAGUGAAACCGAUGAAAGGGGACGCAUUGCUAUUCUUUAACCUUCAUCCGAAUGCAACAACAGAUCCGAGCAGCUUACAUGGAAGCUGUCCAGUGGUUGAGGGAGAGAAAUGGUCAGCUACCAGAUGGAUUCAUGUGAAGUCGUUCGAAAGACCGGUGUCCAGGACAACUGGGUGUGUGGACGAGAACGAGAGCUGCGAGAAAUGGGCAAAGGCAGGGGAAUGUAAGAAGAAUCCAGUCUACAUGGUGGGUUCAGAAACAGACCAGGGAUAUUGCAGAAAGAGCUGCAAAGCUUGCUCAUCUUAAGAACCAAGUAACAAUCAAAGCUCUUAUUAAAAAAGGAUUGAAAAUUUUUGUGUGUAGAGAAAAAACCUUUGGUCUAUAUAAGCAAAAAUGUUUGAACACAUACUAAAAAGAAUAAUAAUAAGCUUCUCUGGUUUCAUGUUUAGUUUAUUUGUAGCAUCAACCUCAAGCAAGGAAUACAUGAUAACUGAUUAUGUAUUAAUAAUAUACGUGAUGUAGUGUACAUGAGAUGAUAGUUGUCUAAACUACGUCAUGCACAUAGAGACUCUUAUAUUUCUAAUGAAGUGUAACAAUCAUGCAAUUACCGUUAACUAGGAGCCUUCAAGCAUGAGAUCCUCACCUUUUAUUUCUCUCUCUCUAGACAAGUCUCAGAGCUUUUGCAUUGCAUCAUUCUAUUUCCAUAAAGCCUUUCUUGUGGUACUUCCACACAGCAUCUUCUCCUUCUCUCCUGUCUCUGAAUAACCCACAAAAAAUGGGAAGGCCUCCAUGUUGUGACAAAUCAAAUGUCAAGAAAGGUCUAUGGACUGCAGAAGAAGACGCUAAGAUCCUCGCUUAUGUUGCAAUCCAUGGUGUAGGAAACUGGAGUUUGAUCCCCAAGAAAGCAGGUCUUGUUCAUAAGCUUCUUCUUUCAUUUUAAGAACUCUUCAAUGUACAAGUCUGAGUUUAUUUAUUUUUAUUUUGGGUGCAGGUCUGAAUCGAUGUGGAAAGAGCUGUAGAUUGAGAUGGACUAAUUACUUAAGACCUGACCUUAAACAUGACAGCUUCUCUCCCCAAGAAGAAGAGCUUAUCAUUCAGUGUCACAGAAUCAUUGGCAGCAGGUUACCUAAUUGCUAACUAACUUUUUAACAAUGACAAAAAAUCUAUCAAACUCUACUAAUAAUAAUAAUCUCUGAUGCUCUCAGGUGGUCUUCGAUUGCGCGAAAGCUUCCAGGAAGAACAGACAACGAUGUGAAAAACCACUGGAACACGAAGCUGAAGAAGAGGCUGGUGAAAAUGGGGAUAGAUCCUGUGACUCACAAACCUGUUUCUCAGGUCCUUACGGAAUUCAGAAACAUUAGUGGCCAUGGAAACUCAUCCGAACCUUUUGUCAGAAACUUCAAAACAGAACCAUCUAACAACUCUAUACUCACACAAUCCAACUCAGCUUGGGAAAUGAUGAGGAACACAACAAGCCAUGAGAGCUAUCACAAUUCUCCUAUGAUCUUUACUCAUCCCACUGCAUCUGAAUUCCAUUUCUCUAACCAUUCAAACUUUCCACUCAAUGGAGCCACGUCUUCAUGUUCUUCCUCGUCUUCUUCUGCUAGUAUCACGCAGCCAAACCAAGGGGCUCAAGCACCGGUUACUACAUUCUGCUGGAGUGAUUACCUUCUCUCGGAUCCGGUUUUACCUCUUAGCUCUCAGACACAAGUAGUGGGAUCCUCAGCUACUAGCAACCUCACUUUCGCGCAGAACGAAAACUUCAACGGCCAAGGAGAAUGCAGCUCUCAGAAGAUUGCUUCCAAGGCCUCUGGAACAUGUCACUCCGCGAGCUCAUUUGUGGAUGAAAUAUUGG